UGUGAGGUUAAGCGACUAAGCGUACACGGUGGAUGCCCUGGCAGUCAGAGGCGAUGAAGGACGUGCUAAUCUGCGAUAAGCGCCGGUAAGGUGAUAUGAACCGUUAUAACCGGCGAUUUCCGAAUGGGGAAACCCAGUGUGACUCGUCACACUAUCAUUAACUGAAUCCAUAGGUUAAUGAGGCGAACCGGGGGAACUGAAACAUCUAAGUACCCCGAGGAAAAGAAAUCAACCGAGAUUCCCCCAGUAGCGGCGAGCGAACGGGGAGGAGCCCAGAGCCUGAAUCAGCAUGUGUGUUAGUGGAAGCGUCUGGAAAGGCGCGCGAUACAGGGUGACAGCCCCGUACACAAAAGCGCAUGUGCUGUGAGCUCGAUGAGUAGGGCGGGACACGUGGUAUCCUGUCUGAAUAUGGGGGGACCAUCCUCCAAGGCUAAAUACUCCUGACUGACCGAUAGUGAACCAGUACCGUGAGGGAAAGGCGAAAAGAACCCCGGCGAGGGGAGUGAAAAAGAACCUGAAACCGU
This 524-nucleotide ribosomal RNA is filed under the name Salmonella enterica. RNAcentral's name for it is "bacterial LSU rRNA". It matches the Rfam family "Bacterial large subunit ribosomal RNA", at positions 1 to 559 of the family's 2925-position model. Lineage: Bacteria; Pseudomonadati; Pseudomonadota; Gammaproteobacteria; Enterobacterales; Enterobacteriaceae. The record is from RNAcentral.